UACUUGCAGUGUCCUCGUCGUAGGUACCGGCCGUCUUUGUGAUUCGUUGGAUCAGAUUUAACCCGCUCCGAACGGACGAGGCGCUUUUACGAGGGUAGGCACGAGGCACCGUUUCGUCAUCGAGAAGGUGCCGGCCGCUUGUGGCGCUACAACUAGACGAACGAACAGCCUCGCCCUCCCAAACGAGGCACGAGCAGGGUAGCGCCGCGAGCACUCGCUUGACGCGUGGUUGGGACGCCGGUGCUGCAGGGAGCGGGGCGCGCCGCGAGCAUCCGCUCGACGCGCGGCAAGGACUCCGGCGUCGGAGGCAGCGGGCCGCGCCGCGAGCCGCCGCUCGACGCGCGGCAAGGACUCCGCCGUCGGAGACAGCGAGCCGCGAAGCGAGCAACAGCUAGACGCGCGGCAAGGACUCCAACGUCGGAGGACAGCGGCCCGCGCCGCGAGCAGCCGCUCGACGCGCGGCAAGGAAGAGCCACCAGUGGAAGCACCGGGACAAACAACACAAACAGCACGGGGUCGAUGACUCGAAGCAGGUCGUGCAUGGUAUUGUACCGACGCUUCUGAACGGCACCAACUUCCUGACCCUCUUCUGUAACCUAGUCUCUCUCCCUUCUUGUGUUACCUUCUGUAUCGAAUGUAAACCCCCUAGACUAAGGAGUAACCAGGGCCGUUCUUAACCACUUCUACGGUAGUUCAAGGAGCAUAGGGAGACAACCUAGAUAUAAACAUCUAUCUAAACUACCUCCACAUACUACACCAGACAAACCUCAUUGACACAUGCCCUUUUCAAGUGGUGGUUACAAAACCGCGCGUUCUCACUAAAUAAAGGG
RNAcentral lists this ribosomal RNA (830 nucleotides) under Triticum aestivum (bread wheat). Its description in RNAcentral is "partial small subunit ribosomal RNA". Lineage: Eukaryota; Viridiplantae; Streptophyta; Magnoliopsida; Poales; Poaceae. The record is from RNAcentral.